This 849-nucleotide long non-coding RNA is filed under the name Marmota monax (woodchuck). The record is from RNAcentral. Lineage: Eukaryota; Metazoa; Chordata; Mammalia; Rodentia; Sciuridae.
CAGAAACUAGUAAUUCUUUCAAAUGCAUUGGUUGCUUAAAUUGAAUAGGAAACAAAUACAUUGUCACAAACUAUUGUUACAAUGAUACUAGUUUUUAGCUAAUUUUUUUAAAAAAAUAUUCAGAUGGCCCCCAAUUUACAAGACUUCAACUUGUGAAUUCUUAACUUUGUGUGGGUCUGAAAACGAUAUGCAUCCAGUAGAAACGGUGUUUCAAAAUUUGAAUUUUGAUUCAAAAUAUUUCAUAUUGACUUUAUCAUAAAAUAGGCUCUGUGAUAGGUGAUUUUGCCUGAGGUCUAAUGGAGAUGUUCUGAGCAGGGUGGGCUCGGCCUGCUGAGGUUUGGAGUUGGUCUGUGAGGUGUGUCAGAACAGCAGACUUAAGGUAUGAUGGGAGUCUGAGGCUGAAACCCCACUGUAAGCUUAGAACACCUACAUAAGGCUUUUACACCAUGCAAAAACAUCAAGUGCAGGUGAGCAGUGUUCUAAUGAUGCUGGUUUUCACAGUCGCCCAUGCGUUGGCCUUUCUGAGAUCUCUGUGCCUGCACACGGCUCUGCGUGGCUGGCUGGGCCCUUCAUUUGUACCUGCAGCUCCAUGGACACACCUGGUCAGGUAGGUCUAGUGGACUCUACUCCCUCAGCCUCUGUCUACCUGGGUGGACCUUAACUCGGCCCGUGGUUUUGAAGGACAGUUUCCCUGGAGGGCGAUUCUUGGUUGACACGAGCUUCUUCGAACACUAUUGACCUUCUGGCCUCUUCAGCUCUGGUGAGAGACACUUGGAUAGUCCCACCAAGGGCCCCUGGUAGGUGGAGGGUCCCUUUCCUCUGCUGGGCUCAAGAUGCUCUGUUUUCCUU